Molecule: ribosomal RNA, 739 nt
Filed under: uncultured bacterium
Lineage: Bacteria
Description: bacterial SSU rRNA
Rfam family: Bacterial small subunit ribosomal RNA
Source: RNAcentral
CAGGACGAACGCUGGCGGCAUGCNUAAUACAUGCAAGUCGACCGGACUUUAAAGAGAAGCUUUGUUCUCUGAUGGUACCGCCGACGGGUGAGUAACACGUAGGCAACCUGCCCUCAAGUUUGGGACAACUACCGGAAACGGUAGCUAAUACCGAAUAGUUGUUUUCUUCUCCUGAAGAGAACUGGAAAGACGGAGCAAUCUGUCACUUGGGGAUGGGCCUGCGGCGUAUUAGCUAGUUGGUGGGGUAACGGCUCACCAAGGCGACGAUGCGUAGCCGACCUGAGAGGGUGAUCGGCCACACUGGGACUGAGACACGGCCCAGACUCCUACGGGAGGCAGCAGUAGGGAAUCUUCCGCAAUGGGCGAAAGCCUGACGGAGCAAUGCCGCGUGAGUGAUGAAGGUUUUCGGAUCGUAAAGCUCUGUUGCCAGGGAAGAACGCUUGGGAGAGUAACUGCUCUCAAGGUGACGGUACCUGAGAAGAAAGCCCCGGCUAACUACGUGCCAGCAGGCGCGGUAAUACGUAGGGGGCAAGCGUUGUCCGGAAUUAUUGGGCGUAAAGCGCGCGCAGGCGGUCAUUUAAGUCUGGUGUUUAAUCCCGGGGCUCAACCCCGGAUCGCACUGGAAACUGGGUGACUUGAGUGCAGAAGAGGAGAGUGGAAUUCCACGUGUAGCGGUGAAAUGCGUAGAUAUGUGGAGGAACACCAGUGGCCGAAGGCGACUCUCUGGGCUGUAACUGAC